Toxocara canis (dog roundworm) is the source of this 82-nucleotide transfer RNA. It matches the Rfam family "tRNA". Rfam says of the family: Transfer RNA (tRNA) molecules are approximately 80 nucleotides in length. Their secondary structure includes four short double-helical elements and three loops (D, anti-codon, and T loops). The record is from Rfam. Lineage: Eukaryota; Metazoa; Nematoda; Chromadorea; Rhabditida; Toxocaridae.
GGCGAGAUGGCCGAGCGCACUAAAUCGCUGGUUUAAGGCAAAAGUCUCUUCGGAGGCGUGGGUUCCAAUCCCACUCUCGUCA